This 72-nucleotide transfer RNA is filed under the name Camelus bactrianus (Bactrian camel). It matches the Rfam family "tRNA". Rfam says of the family: Transfer RNA (tRNA) molecules are approximately 80 nucleotides in length. Their secondary structure includes four short double-helical elements and three loops (D, anti-codon, and T loops). Further hydrogen bonds mediate the characteristic L-shaped molecular structure. tRNAs have two regions of fundamental functional importance: the anti-codon, which is responsible for specific mRNA codon recognition, and the 3' end, to which the tRNAs corresponding amino acid is attached (by aminoacyl-tRNA synthetases). tRNAs cope with the degeneracy of the genetic code in two manners: having more than one tRNA (with a specific anti-codon) for a particular amino acid; and 'wobble' base-pairing, i.e. permitting non-standard base-pairing at the 3rd anti-codon position. The record is from Rfam by way of RNAcentral. RNAcentral also lists the same sequence under 2 other names. Lineage: Eukaryota; Metazoa; Chordata; Mammalia; Artiodactyla; Camelidae.
GAGGCUAUAGCUCAAGUGGUGGAGCACAUGCUUAGCGGGCACAAGGUCCUGGGUUCGAUCCCCAGUGCCUCC